ACCGCUGAACCACUUUCAUGCUUGGGAUUGUGAACUGAAACUGUUCACAUGAACUUGGAAUUCCUAGUAAGUGUGAGUCAUUAACUCGCAUUGAUUACGUCCCUGCCCUUUGUGCACACCGCCCGUCGCUACUACCGAUUGAAUUAUUUAGUGAGGUCUCCGGACGUGAUCACUGUGACGCCUUGCGUGUUACGGUUGUUUCGCAGAAGUUGACCGAACUUGAUUAUUUAGAGGGAGUAAAAGUCGUAACAAGGGUUUCGUAAGUGGACCUGCGGAAGGAUCAUUA
Molecule: non-coding RNA, 286 nt
Filed under: Drosophila ananassae
Lineage: Eukaryota; Metazoa; Arthropoda; Insecta; Diptera; Drosophilidae
Description: Eukaryotic small subunit ribosomal RNA
Rfam family: Eukaryotic small subunit ribosomal RNA
Source: Rfam by way of RNAcentral